GGAUGUGAGUGCAGUCUGGCUGUGACGGCUGUCACUUCAUUGAUCAGCAGGGUUGAUUUAGCUGAUCUGGCUGCCUAGGCGGGUGUCCCCUCCUUCCCUCACCACUCCAUAUGUGUGCCUCCUGAAGCUGCACACUUGGUUGAAGAGGAUGACCUGCCCCAAUGGAGGAGGACCGUUCUUUGGUCAAGGGUAUACAAGUAGCUGUACUUCCCUGUUAGAACCUCCAGACAAGCUCUCAGGGUCCAUUUGUAGGAGAACAUAGGGUAGUCAAGGUUCCAAGACUUCAGACACAUUCAAAUGCAGCCCUGCAUGUGACCAUUGCCUUCCUUA
Molecule: small nuclear RNA, 330 nt
Filed under: Vulpes vulpes (red fox)
Lineage: Eukaryota; Metazoa; Chordata; Mammalia; Carnivora; Canidae
Description: 7SK RNA (ENSVVUG00000014068.1)
Rfam family: 7SK RNA
About the family: 7SK was discovered as an abundant small nuclear RNA in the mid-70s but a possible function has only recently been suggested.
Source: Rfam by way of RNAcentral